UGGGGAAUUUUGGACAAUGGGCGCAAGCCUGAUCCAGCCAUGCCGCGUGCGGGAAGAAGGCCUUCGGGUUGUAAACCGCUUUUGUCAGGGAAGAAAUCUUCUGAGUUAAUACCUCGGGAGGAUGACGGUACCUGAAGAAUAAGCACCGGCUAACUACGUGCCAGCAGCCGCGGUAAUACGUAGGGUGCAAGCGUUAAUCGGAAUUACUGGGCGUAAAGCGUGCGCAGGCGGUUUUGUAAGACAGAGGUGAAAUCCCCGGGCUCAACCUGGGAACUGCCUUUGUGACUGCAAGGCUUGAGUGCGGCAGAGGGGGGCAUGGAAUUCCGCGUGUAGCAGUGAAAUGCGUAGAUAUGCGGAGGAACACCGAUGGCGAAGGCAAUCCCCUGGGCCUGCACUGACGCUCAUGCACGAAAGCGUGGGGACGCAAA
This 428-nucleotide ribosomal RNA is filed under the name uncultured bacterium. Its description in RNAcentral is "partial 16S ribosomal RNA". It matches the Rfam family "Bacterial small subunit ribosomal RNA", at positions 355 to 772 of the family's 1533-position model. The record is from RNAcentral.